Molecule: long non-coding RNA, 2566 nt
Filed under: Sus scrofa (pig)
Lineage: Eukaryota; Metazoa; Chordata; Mammalia; Artiodactyla; Suidae
Description: lncRNA (ENSSSCG00060054416.1)
Source: RNAcentral
GGGAGGUGGGCCGUCCUGGGCGUGGGUGGGAGGUUCGCGUGGGGCGGACUGGCUGUGGGCAAAUGACUGGCAGACAGACUGGACGGAGCCGUGGCUGGUCGGGCUGGUCAUCUUCCACGUGCUCUGCCUGCUGCUCACCUGCUUCUCAUCCCGGAGGUAUAAGCUACAGGUCGGGCACUUCCUGUGUCUGGUGACGCUGGUCUACUGCGCCGAGUACAUCAAUGAGGUUGCGGCCAUGAACUGGAGGUCCUUCUCAAAGUACCAGUAUUUCGACUCGAGGGGGAUGUUCGUGUCCCUGGUCUUCUCGGCACCGCUGCUGCUCAACGCCCUGGCCAUCGUGAUCCUGUGGGUGCGCAAGACGCUGGCGGUGAUGAGCGACCUGAGGACCUUACAGCAGCGCCGGGGGCGGCCGAAGCAGCAGUGACAGCUCUGCCCCCGGCUGGCGCCUGGGCAUCCAGACCCGCCCCGCGUCCCGAGACGCUUGGGCUGGCUUUGAAGGGCGCUCGCCCGGCCUGGGUCCACCCAGAAGGUCUGAGUCUCCCUAGUUAAACUGUAAAUGGAGCCCCUGCAGUCAAGCCUGAGCUCGGGACACCCUGUCUGUCCAUGUGGGAGGGUUGAGGGGUGGGCAGCGCCAUCCACGCGUGGGCACCCCCAUUGGCCCCUGUCCCCCCCACCCUCCCCGUCAGCCCCCUGUCACCUCUAUCACUCCCCCAUCACCCCUGUCACCCCCAUGCUCCCCGUCAGCCCCCUGUCACGGUCACCCCUGUCACCCCUGUCACUGCCAUCACCCUGGUCUGGCCUUCGUGGCGACGGCCUCUCCAGGCAGGGCUGCCGCUGGACAGGGCAGGAGGGGCCGCCUGGCCUCUGUGCAGUUGGAGGCGUCACGGCGCCGGCGGAGGCCGGAGUCGGGAUCUUCAGAGGCGGCAGCCGCGCGAGCCCCUUGAGUUGUGCUUCAGGAAGGAACGUCGCCAUUAAAACAGUCAGCAGCUGCCUGGUUCAACUAAGAGGUUUUAUGGCGAAUACCGAGACGGGUUCUGUCCCUUGGUUCCUGCCUCUUACAUUCUGCUCGGGGACAUGCCACCGCCUCUUCUGUUGGAGCAGCUGCGCUGAUUCGGUGUCACGGCUGCGCUGCGGACUAGACCUGCAGCUGGAGGGUGGGGGCCGCAUGUCUAAACUCAGCGUUUGAGAAAGAGGAGGCGGUUGGCUCCUGAUGGGGUUUGAAAAAAUAGCUUGCGAGCCUUCCUGCUGUGACUCAAAGGGAUCAGCGGCAUCUCUGCAGCGCUGGGCGCGGGUUUGAUCCCUGGCCGGGUGCAGUGGGUUAAGGCUCUGACAGGGCUGCAGCUGCAGUGUAGGUCACGCUGGGACGUGGCUCUGAUCCUGGCCCAGGAAAGCCAUGUGCCAUGGGGUGGCCUGAAAAAAAGAGAGGAAGUAGUUUAUGAAUAGUUGUCUUAAUUUUAAGAAGAUAUUUUCCCUUAAAUGAAGUAUAUUUUUCAAAUUUCAAAAGAAAAAAAAUUGGUCACUUGAAAGCAUUAUAUUUAGUGGUUCAGAGGGUAACACUGCUGGAUGAUGGGAUUAAAUCUUGAAAUCCAGACGUAAAGACAGCUGUAAACUCUUAGCAGAGAAAUUAUUUCCUUAAUUUUGACGUUGGUUUUAGAACCGAGUCGAUAGAACUUCCUAGAUCAAUCUCUUGGAGCUUUUAACCUCACAUCCUUUCUUGAUGUGAAUGUCUGUACUGAACAUUGAAAAAAUUGACUCAGCAACAGCAUGUCACGUGAAAUCCAGUUUUAGAUGUCUUGCACCUGAUGACAUCCUGAGGGUGCGUUGCUGAAAGUGACCAGUUCAGGGUGUUCCUUGGUGUCCUGGCUUCAGAAGAGUCGCCUGCAUCUGAGCAGCUCCCGGGAGCCCACAGCGGCAGGGGCUGCGGGCGGGGUCGAGUGUCCCCUCCAGCGCCGGCCUGGGGCCAGGGGACAGAAGUGCCCGUGGCAACGUCCUGCCCUUGCCCUCGGCCCCUCGGAGCCCAGGGAGUGCAGGCAUUUCCACCGUCCGGAGCCACUCCUGUCAGCGCGAGACUGUGACUGGCUCUCAGCUGUCCUGUGAAGACCGGGUAAUGACAUCGUCAUUGGCCUGGAUGUGGGGUCAGACGUCCUGUCGAAAACACGACGUAGGGCCUUUUCGUUCACUGGUGUAUGUAAGUUUUGGGGAAUCGUUGUGUUUUAUUUUCACAAACACAACCUGUUUUUAAAACUUUUAGUAGGUUUCUCUCCAGUGGCUUAAAGGGCAGUGUUUACGAACACCAGGCGGUCCUCAUGCUUGGGACACACUCCAAGCCGUCGCUGUCCCAGCACUUCAGGUCACCUCAAGUGUGGGGACUGUGGCCCUUUCGGGGCAUGGGGGUGCUGCUGGGGCUUGGGGCCUCCAGGCGGGUGGAAGGGCAGCCUGUGUCUGUCAUCUGCGGACGAGAAGACGAGAGACACGCGUGGUCAAGGCGCAUUUAGCCCGUUCCAGACCUGCAACCUUCAGUUUGUCAGUUGCUGUGUAAUAAAGUCUUAUUUUAUUUCAAGUAUCU